AGAGUUUGAUCCUGUCUCAGGACGAACGCUGGCGGCGUGCUUAACACAUGCAAGUCGAACGGAAAGGCCCUUCGGGGUACUCGAGUGGUGAACGGGUGAGUAACACGUGGGCGAUCUGCCCUGCACUUUGGGAUAGGCCUGGGAAACUGGGUCUAAUACCGAAUAGGACCACGCGCUUCAUGGUGUGUGGUGGAAAGCUUUUGCGGUGUGGGAUGGGCCCGCGGCCUAUCAGCUUGUUGGUGGGGUAAUGGCCUACCAAGGCGACGACGGGUAGCCGGCCUGGGAGGGUGACCGGCCACACUGGGACUGAGAUACGGCCCAGACUCCUACGGGAGGCAGCAGUGGGGAAUAUUGCACAAUGGGCGCAAGCCUGAUGCAGCGACGCCGCGUGAGGGAUGACGGCCUUCGGGUUGUAAACCUCUUUCAAUAGGGACGAAGCGUGAGUGACGGUACCUAUAGAAGAAGCACCGGCCAACUACGUGCCAGCAGCCGCGGUAAUACGUAGGGUGCGAGCGUUGUCCGGAAUUACUGGGCGUAAAGAGCUCGUAGGUGGUUUGUCGCGUUGUUCGUGAAAACUCACAGCUUAACUGUGGGCGUGCGGGCGAUACGGGCAGACUAGAGUACUGCAGGGGAGACUGGAAUUCCUGGUGUAGCGGUGGAAUGCGCAGAUAUCAGGAGGAACACCGGUGGCGAAGGCGGGUCUCUGGGCAGUAACUGACGCUGAGGAGCGAAAGCGUGGGGAGCGAACAGGAUUAGAUACCCUGGUAGUCCACGCCGUAAACGGUGGAAAAUGGGUGUGGGUUCCUUCCUUGGGAUCCGUGCCGUAGCUAACGCACUAAGUACCCCGCCCUGGGGGGUGCGGCCGCAAGGCUAAAACUCAAAGGAAUUGACGGGGGCCCGCACAAGCGGCGGAGUAUGUGGAUUAAUUCGAUGCAACGCGAAGAACCUUACCUGGGUUUGACAUGCACAGGACGCCGGCAGAGAUGUCGGUUCCCUUGUGGCCUGUGUGCAGGUGGUGCAUGGCUGUCGUCAGCUCGUGUCGUGAGAUGUUGGGUUAAGUCCCGCAGCGAGCGCAACCCCCGUCCUAUGUUGCCAGCGGGUUAUGCCGGGGACUCGUAGGAGACUGCCGGGGUCAACUCGGAGGAAGGUGGGGAGGACGUCAAGUCAUCAUGCCCCCUAUGUCCAGGGCUUCACACAUGCUACAAUGGCCGGUACAAAGGGCUGCGAUGCCGUGAGGUGGAGCGAAUCCUUUCAAAGCCGGUCUCAGUUCGGAUCGGGGUGUGCAACUCGACCCCGCGAAGUCGGAGUCGCUAGUAAUCGCAGAUCAGCAACGCUGCGGCGAAUAAAUUCCCGGGCCUUGCACUCACCGCCCGUCA
RNAcentral lists this ribosomal RNA (1376 nucleotides) under uncultured bacterium. RNAcentral describes it as "16S ribosomal RNA". It matches the Rfam family "Bacterial small subunit ribosomal RNA". The record is from RNAcentral.